CAGCAGCCGCGGUAAUACGUAGGGUGCGAGCGUUAAUCGGAAUUACUGGGCGUAAAGCGUGCGCAGGCGGCCGCGCAAGUCGAGUGUGAAAGCCCCGAGCUUAACUUGGGAAUUGCGCUCGAAACUACGUGGCUGGAGUGUGGCAGAGGAAGGUGGAAUUCCACGUGUAGCGGUGAAAUGCGUAGAGAUGUGGAGGAACACCGAUGGCGAAGGCAGCCCCCUGGGUUAACACUGACGCUCAUGCACGAAAGCGUGGGGAGCAAACAGGAUUAGAUACCCUGGUAGUCCACGCCCUAAACUAUGUCCACUGGUUGUCGGGGGAUUAACUCCCUUGGUAACGAAGCUAACGCGUGAAGUUGACCGCCUGGGGAGUACGGCCGCAAGGUUAAAACUCAAAGGAAUUGACGG
RNAcentral lists this ribosomal RNA (408 nucleotides) under uncultured bacterium. RNAcentral's name for it is "bacterial SSU rRNA". It matches the Rfam family "Bacterial small subunit ribosomal RNA", at positions 509 to 916 of the family's 1533-position model. The record is from RNAcentral.